This is a long non-coding RNA of Felis catus (domestic cat), 2954 nucleotides long. RefSeq lists it as uncharacterized. Lineage: Eukaryota; Metazoa; Chordata; Mammalia; Carnivora; Felidae. The transcript is spliced from 3 exons. The record is from RefSeq and is a predicted model, not a curated record.
UACCUGAAACAAAAAACGGCAACAGCUGAUGUUACUGCAGAAAGACACCUAAAAGUUUCCUGGUUCUUAAGAAUACCUAUAGAUUUUGUUAGUAAAGUUAAUAUUUGGACACAUUAAAUCCUAAAAGCUAAAGAAUGGUUAUUUAUCAUCCUGAUAGGGCCUAGAUGAAAUGUUCUUUUCCCUCACAAUCCACGAGCCAGUUUAAUACAUACAGGAUUGUAAAUACUCCUCUGUUAAACAGUGCUAAUCAUUAGAGAAGGAACAAAUAAUAUUGUAAUACUAAUAAAACUGUUAACUUGGCAGUGAUUUGAUCACAGUUUGAUAAGGCCAACAAACAUAUGUGAAACAGUUAACUUUUUUUAAGUUCUGUGAUUUAAAUCUUUCUCCAGUUCAGACUGAGUAUCCUUCCUUUAUUGUAAUUUCAGUUGGUAAAUUUAGGUUCUACAUCUAUUUCUAUAGCUCACAUUGGGCUGAUUAAAAUUAUUGCUAGCUGAUCUGAAUCAAUCAGUAUUUUCAGACUCCAGUAAGCAAAUCACCUAAAUGAAGUCUAAGACUUUCAGUUAAGCAAGAUUAAAAGGACAGGACAAAGCUGAUAUAAUGAUCAGCAUUAAAAUGCCAGGGAUAAAUCAGGAAAAAUCAAAAUUAACAUCACCAGUGAAGGGCACGGAUAUCAUGUGCCUCCUGAUGUAACACCCUGAGACAGAUACAACAUUACCUGCCACUCAUUCUGGAUGUGAAUGAGAAUACAUAGCCUGAAUCUAAUCAAGAAAUAAUAAUAAAAUAAACUUUAAAGGUAGAGGGGCAAAAUUUAUUUUCAAAAAUACCUAUGCCAUAAAAAAACAAAGACUAUUAAAUUAUUCUGGCUUAAAGGAAGCUAAAGAGACAUGACAACUAAACGUACUACCUGACAGACUGGACUCUGUACUGAGGAAGGGAAAUGUUAUGAGGUCAUUACUGAGUCAAACUGACACAAUUAGAAUAUGUGUCACGUUAAAUUUAAUAAAGCAUAUGACUGUACUGUGGUGGUACAAACAAAUGUCCUGAUUCUUAGGAAACAUACCAUAAAGUAUUUAGGGGCAUUAGGCUAUGACGCAUGCACUCUACCUUCCAAUGGAUGGUGGGGGGGUGGAGUGUGUGUGCGUGUGCAUGUGAGUGUUUAGAAAGUGCAAGAGUACAAAAAAAGAGAGAGAGAAGCAAAGGGGUAAAAUGGUGACUACGGAUGAAUCCGUGUGGAGAAUAUACAGGGUUUUAUUUCUGCUAUUCUUAUCCUUGCCACUUCUCUGUAAGUUUGAAAUUGUUUCAAAAUAAAGAGUUAAAAACAUUGCCAGGGAUGAGUAGGCAGCUGUCACUCUUAAAAAAAGGAAUAAGAUACUCUCUCUGGGCUCCUACCCACAGGACAAUGCUGCAGAUGCUGCAGGACCCCAGGACACUCUGCUAAUAUUUCAAAGAAGAGUGAGACAGGGAUAAAUGAUCUAAGGUUUUGCUGUGGUCAUAAACCAAUUCUAACCUUCAGGGUGGUAUCCACGUAUGGGUCUUCCUCACGAGCUGCCGCCGCACUGCACCGCACUGUGAAACACUGCAAGUUGUUGCUAAGGAAGAGGAGAGACACCACUGAGCAAAGCAGAGGCCAAUAACCAACAUGCCCGUACUUUGGAAGAUAUCACAGAGGCGAACAGAGCAACAGUGAGGCUUCUCCACAGUUCACAGUUAAAGGACAUCACUAUGCACAACACGUUGGAAAUGGAGACUAGCUACCUCCAGGAUGUUCACUUAGGAAACACACAACAGCAUUUCUCCUUACACCAGACAACGGGACGAGAAGGCAGCAACCACAAUAUGGGUGAGUAGCAGAAUCUCCAGGUGAGUUCUAUGCUGUCAGAAUAUACUUCCUGUGGCUACUGAUACUACCACUCAGUUGAAAAAAUAAUUAAAAAUCACUGUCCUAUGCAAUUAAUUAGUGGAUGCUCCCGCAAAACUAGAUGUAGCCUUUGUUUAUAGUCUUCCCUCUAUCUAUAAUGCCUUUCUCUUCUAAUCUACAUCUGUCAAAUUCCAACUAGCUUCUCUCACUUCAAACACAAAAAACUUUCGGUAUGACUCAGCCAGAAGUAAUUUCCCUCCUUCCAGUACCUACACCACUUUCACAAAGGCUUAAGAUAUUUUUCACAAAUCCCCUAGUAUUUGUGCCCCAUGUAUGUGUCUCUGGCCUUCUCUUAUGCUAUUGCUGUACCUUAUUCACAGCAAAUGCUGUACCUUAUUCCCAGUUGCUUAGCCAGAGGGCCCAAUGCAGUGGCUUGCACAUAAUCUAAGCUCAAAAAACAGGAAAUAGAACCAAAAGCACUAGCUACUGCUGAGAUUAAAAGAAAUGAGAUAAAAAUCCUGCUCAGGAAUCCAGCUCAGGAACUCAGGAACAUGCCAGCAUAUUAGGGUAAGGCAACUGAAAAGGCAUCUGCUACCAAUUAGCCAAAUGUCCUUGUCCAUCCCAACCUCUGGAUUAUUUCCCCAUUUGUACUAAUCAGAGGGUGGAAUCAGGUAGCCUUUCUAGCUCCUUCACAGUUCUAAGCCAUUAUGAGAUAACUCAACUCAUACAGAAAGAAUAUGACAGCAGAGAAAAAAAAUUAGGAAAUCUAAAAAGAAAUCUAGAGAUGUCCUGACUGGCUCCACUGACUUUUCACCGAAAUUCUCUAUGAAAAUAUUUCCUCAGAAAGAACUGUAUACUUCCUUACAAAGACCCCUAGCCAAACUAAGAAAAUAAAACAAAGGCAAAACCAGAAUCUAAAUAUUUGGCAUUGAAAAUGUAGAUAUGGGCCAUCAAAAGACAGAGACACAUCAUUAAUUUAUAGUACUAUAUAUAAUUUCACACAAUUCCCAUUUAAAGAUUUAGGAAGCAUGUCAGGAAUUUACAGAAGAGUAAGUGACUCGAAGGCUAGCAAGUAACACUGUAACAUACCUUGUAA